RNAcentral lists this transfer RNA (80 nucleotides) under Streptomyces griseus. RNAcentral describes it as "tRNA-Ala(ggc)". RNAcentral also lists the same sequence under 4 other names. The record is from RNAcentral. Lineage: Bacteria; Bacillati; Actinomycetota; Actinomycetes; Kitasatosporales; Streptomycetaceae.
CGCGAGUUGGCCGGCGGCUCCGGCCAGGGCGGCCGGCACCCGCUGCCCGACGUGGCGCGGUUCGGCGCCGCGAUGCGCGC